ACAGAUUGUAGUUCUGGGGAGGUUUGGUAGGUCAGACAGAUUGUAGUUCUGGAGAGGUUUGGUAGGUCAGACAGAUUGUAGUUCUGGAGAGGUUUGGUAGGUCAGACAGAUUGUAGUUCUGGGGAGGUUUGGUAGGUCAGACAGAUUGUAGUUCUGGGGAGGUUUGGUAGGUCAGACAGAUUGUAGUUCUGGAGAGGUUUGGUAGGUGAGACAGAUUGUAGUUCUGGGGAGGUUUGGUAGGUCAGACAGAUUGUAGUUCUGGAGAGGUUUGGUAGGUCAGACAGAUUGUAGUUCUGGAGAGGUUUGGUAGGUCAGACAGAUUGUAGUUCUGGGGAGGUUUGGUAGGUCAGACAGAUUGUAGUUCUGGAGAGGUUUGGUAGGUCAGACAGAUUGUAGUUCUGGAGAGGUUUAGGCCACUGUGACAUUGAGAUGACAUACUGUAUACGCUACAGGCUUUCACAGUCUCACGUCAUCCAUGUUUCUCAAACAUCAAAUUCCGAAAUUGUUCAAAACGUCAAUGUGUUUACGGUUAGGUUUAGGCAUUUACUCCCAAUAUUUAAGGUUAGUGUUAAGUUCGGGCAUCAACUCCAAAUGGUUCAGGUAUGGGUUAUGGUUUGGAUAGGCUUAAAACGAAAAAUAUCAAAAACAACUGUCUAUCGCUGGAUUCAAACAUGCAAACUUCAGCACCAGAGGCAGACGCUUACACCUCCCCGUCCACAACACCCUAGCAAAACCGAAACCUACUUGAAGGUAACAGCGCUCACUUUUGCCCCUAGUGACGGUUUCCAGGUCCUUUAUCUGCUGGCAGCACAGCACUAACAGAAGGUCACUAAUGAUGCAGUGUGUGGUGGGUCAAUCAAGGCGACUAGUAUUAGCAGAGUAGCGUAGCAUCCUCCCCUACCAAGUAGGAUGAGUUUUAAUGAAUAAUGAACGAUGGAUGAAUAACCUGUUGAUGGAGGGGAGCGAUAGAGAGGAACAGACAGACAGAGAAAUAAUGUGUUAGAGAAAGAGAGAGGAACAGACAGACAGAGAAAUAAUGUGUUAGAGAAAGAGAGAGGAACAGACAGACAGAGAAAUAAUGUGUUAGAGAAAGAGAGAGGAACAGACAGACAGAGAAAUAAUGUGUUAGAGAAAGAGAGAGGAACAGACAGACAGAGAAAUAAUGUGUUAGAGAAAGAGAGGAACAGACAGACAGAGAAAUAAUGUGUUAGAGAUAGAGAGAGGAACAGACAGACAGAGAAAUAAUGUGUUAGAGAAAGAGAGAGGAACAGACAGACAGAGAAAUAAUGUGUUAGAGAAAGAGAGAGGAACAGACAGACAGAGAAAUAAUGUGUUAGAGAAAGAGAGAGGAACAGACAGACAGAGAAAUAAUGUGUUAGAGAAAGAGAGAGGAACAGACAGACAGAGAAAUAAUGUGUUAGAGAAAGAGAGGAACAGACAGACAGAGAAAUAAUGUGUUAGAGAUAGAGAGAGGAACAGACAGACAGAGAAAUAAUGUGUUAGAGAAAGAGAGAGGAACAGACAGACAGAGAAAUAAUGUGUUAGAGAAAGAGAGAGGAACAGACAGACAGAGAAAUAAUGUGUUAGAGAAAGAGAGAGGAACAGACAGACAGAGAAAUAAUGUGUUAGAGAAAGAGAGAGGAACAGACAGACAGAGAAAUAAUGUGUUAGAGAAAUAGAGAGGAACAGACAGACAGAGAAAUAAUGUGUUAGAGAAAGAGAGAGGAACAGACAGACAGAGAAAUAAUGUGUUAGAGAAAGAGAGAGGAACAGACAGACAGAGAAAUAAUGUGUUAGAGAAAGAGAGAGGAACAGACAGACAGAGAAAUAAUGUGUCAGAGAAAGAGAGAGGAACAGACAGACAGAGAAAUAAUGUGUUAGAGAAAGAGAGAGGAACAGACAGACAGACAGAGAAAUAAUGUGUUAGAGAAAGAGAGAGGAACAGACAGACAGACAGAGAAAUAAUGUGUCAGAGAAAGAGAGAGGAACAGACAGACAGAUAAAUAAUGUGUUAGAGAAAGAGAGAGGAACAGACAGACAGAGAAAUAAUGUGUGAGAGAAAGAGAGAGGAACAGACAGACAGACAGACAGAGAAAUAAUGUGUUAGAGAAAGAGAGAGGAACAGACAGACAGAGAAAUAAUGUGUUAGAGAAAGAGAGAGGAACAGACAGACAGAGAAAUAAUGUGUUAGAGAAAGAGAGAGGAACAGA
Oncorhynchus keta (chum salmon) is the source of this 2210-nucleotide long non-coding RNA. RefSeq lists it as uncharacterized. The record is from RefSeq and is a predicted model, not a curated record. The transcript has 3 exons. Lineage: Eukaryota; Metazoa; Chordata; Actinopteri; Salmoniformes; Salmonidae.